RNAcentral lists this small nuclear RNA (295 nucleotides) under Meriones unguiculatus (Mongolian gerbil). RNAcentral describes it as "7SK RNA (ENSMUGG00000008820.1)". It matches the Rfam family "7SK RNA". Rfam says of the family: 7SK was discovered as an abundant small nuclear RNA in the mid-70s but a possible function has only recently been suggested. Two independent studies have found that 7SK RNA binds the CDK9/cyclin T complex (known as elongation factor P-TEFb). P-TEFb activates transcription by phosphorylating the C-terminal domain of RNA polymerase II. The record is from RNAcentral. Lineage: Eukaryota; Metazoa; Chordata; Mammalia; Rodentia; Muridae.
GACAGUGAGUGUGAUCUGGCUGCCACUUCUCUCAUUCCACUGACCGCCAGAGUGGAUUCAGCUAUCUGGCUGGCUAGGUGGGUGACCCUUCCCUCCCUCAAUGCUCCAUGUGUGUCCCUCUGACGCUUAGUCAAACAAAGAAGGAGAACAACCUUCUCCAACAGAAGAAGCCUGGUCUUCAGUGAAGGGGGUAAGAGUAGCUGCUCUCCUGCUGGAGCCUUGUAACAAGCUCUCAAAUGUCAAACAGGAAAGAAAGAAAUUUGAUCAGACUUCCUAAGGUCAGCUUACUCAUUUA